This 476-nucleotide long non-coding RNA is filed under the name Phaseolus vulgaris (common bean). Its description in RNAcentral is "long non-coding RNA (PVUL_LNC001497)". Lineage: Eukaryota; Viridiplantae; Streptophyta; Magnoliopsida; Fabales; Fabaceae. The record is from RNAcentral.
AGGCCCCUAACUCGCCAGUUCCAGUAGAGAUCGCACUCCCAAGUUAGCUAUGCACUGGGCAGUACCAUGCAUAAGUAACUUAGCCAAAAUGAGAGUAGAAGCAGCGCCAAGUCAAGGAGCCUCCAGAUGAUGGCACGUGUACAGUUGGAUGCGAGCCACGUGUCCAAGUCUGUAACUGCCAGGAGAGAGAAAGUUACCAGGUAUAUAAGAGUUCUUAACGAACUUUCUGAGGUACGCACAUUCAGUUUAUACUCUUUACACUUGCGAGUUGUAGAGAUGACUGUGAGAGAGGAUUUGCACGGUUCUUGUUCUCUUCAUAUUUGGUGAUACCGUCACUGACUUGAGCGUUGGAGUGCAAUCGGCCGCAGCGGCGCCGCUCUGUUUCUUUGCAGGUUCUUGAGGUGGAUCUCGAAGAGGAACGGAGGUUCGAAGCGGUGCGCACGUCGAUCCUUUGACGAGGCAGUUUCCAGCGUUCC